RNAcentral lists this ribosomal RNA (440 nucleotides) under uncultured bacterium. Its description in RNAcentral is "partial 16S ribosomal RNA". It matches the Rfam family "Bacterial small subunit ribosomal RNA", at positions 338 to 795 of the family's 1533-position model. The record is from RNAcentral.
CCUACGGGAGGCAGCAGUGGGGAAUAUUGGACAAUGGGGGGAACCCUGAUCCAGCGACGCCGCGUGAGUGAAGAAGUAUUUCGGUAUGUAAAGCUCUAUCAGCAGGGAAGAAAAUGACGGUACCUGACUAAGAAGCCCCGGCUAACUACGUGCCAGCAGCCGCGGUAAUACGUAGGGGGCAAGCGUUAUCCGGAUUUACUGGGUGUAAAGGGAGCGUAGACGGUGCAGCAAGUCUGGAGUGAAAUGCCGGGGCUUAACCCCGGAACUGCUUUGGAAACUGUGCAGCUAGAGUGCAGGAGAGGUAAGUGGAAUUCCUAGUGUAGCGGUGAAAUGCGUAGAUAUUAGGAGGAACACCAGUGGCGAAGGCGGCUUACUGGACUGUAACUGACGUUGAGGCUCGAAAGCGUGGGGAGCAAACAGGAUUAGAUACCCGUGUAGUC